RNAcentral lists this ribosomal RNA (305 nucleotides) under uncultured bacterium. RNAcentral describes it as "partial 16S ribosomal RNA". It matches the Rfam family "Bacterial small subunit ribosomal RNA", at positions 505 to 807 of the family's 1533-position model. The record is from RNAcentral.
ACAGCAGCAGCCGCGGUAAUACGUAGGGUGCGAGCGUUAAUCGGAAUUACUGGGCGUAAAGCGGGCGCAGACGGUUACUUAAGCAGGAUGUGAAAUCCCCGGGCUCAACCUGGGAAUUGCGUUCUGAACUGGGUGGCUAGAGUGUGUCAGAGGGGGGUAGAAUUCCACGUGUAGCAGUGAAAUGCGUAGAGAUGUGGAGGAAUACCGAUGGCGAAGGCAGCCCCCUGGGAUAGCACUGACGUUCAUGCCCGAAAGCGUGGGUAGCAAACAGGAUUAGAUACCCCUGUAGUCCCUGUCUCUUAUAC